UGGGGUUUCGGCUGCCCAGGGGUAGGGGCACCGACCCACUUCUCAAAGAAAUUACGUCCGUGCCAUUGCUCUUAAUGGAAAAUAAAAAAAAAUGACUUUGGGCUCCCGGUAUCGACACGUCAAUUCUCUCUCCUCAACCUCUUAAUUUUCUUUCAUCAGUUUAACCAAAACAAACUUUCCUACUUUCUCUCUGUUCAUCUUCAUCGUCAUUGUAAUUUCCGCCACUAUUAUCAUCUUCGUCGUCGCCGGAGAUCGAGUCCAGUUCAUUGAUGCUGCUCACUUGGUUUUAAACAAUAUUGUAUCGAUAACUUGGGUAAGAGUAUAGGAAACUUGAAAGCAUACCUUUACAAAGUAAGAACGACUACCAAAAGUAUUAACUUUGAGAUUAUUCACAAAGCGACGUGUAUAGCGGAAGACUUCAUUUUAGCUGAAUGAGUAUCUAUAUAUUAUAUCCAACUCAUUUUUUUAGUCAUUCAACUAAGUCCUUGAUAGAUGUUAUUAUCUUCAUAUGGCUUGAAGUUAUCGUUACCCGAUCCAGAUGCAGCUGAAGAUUCUUGUGGUUCAAUAAAGUUAUUAAAGAUGUAUGUGAUUGUUUUUAUACGGCCUACCUUAUCGUUAUUUUCUCUUGUUUGUAUUGAAAUAUUGAACUCAAGAUAAUUUUAUCGAACACUAUGAGAUAAGAUUUAGCUACAUUAAAGCAAUUAUAUUUAUUUCAAAAAAUAAUUUCAACAAA
This is a long non-coding RNA of Beta vulgaris subsp. vulgaris (sugar beet), 733 nucleotides long. RefSeq lists it as uncharacterized. The record is from RefSeq and is a predicted model, not a curated record. The transcript has 3 exons. Lineage: Eukaryota; Viridiplantae; Streptophyta; Magnoliopsida; Caryophyllales; Amaranthaceae.